RNAcentral lists this ribosomal RNA (292 nucleotides) under uncultured bacterium. RNAcentral's name for it is "partial 16S ribosomal RNA". It matches the Rfam family "Bacterial small subunit ribosomal RNA", at positions 505 to 796 of the family's 1533-position model. The record is from RNAcentral.
GUGCCAGCAGCCGCGGUAAUACAGAGGUCCCAAGCGUUGUUCGGAUUCACUGGGCGUAAAGGGUGCGUAGGUGGCUAGGUAAGUUUGAUGUGAAAGCUCUGGGCUCAACCCAGAAAUGGCAUUGAAUACUAUCUAGCUAGAGGAGUGGAGGGGGGACUGGAAUACUUGGUGUAGCAGUGAAAUGCGUAGAUAUCAAGUGGAACACCAGUGGCGAAGGCGAGUCCCUGGACACUUCCUGACACUGAGGCACGAAAGCUAGGGGAGCAAACAGGAUUAGAUACCCCCGUAGUCC